RNAcentral lists this long non-coding RNA (2290 nucleotides) under Populus trichocarpa (black cottonwood). Its description in RNAcentral is "long non-coding RNA (PTRI_LNC000047)". The record is from RNAcentral. Lineage: Eukaryota; Viridiplantae; Streptophyta; Magnoliopsida; Malpighiales; Salicaceae.
CAGCUAACCGCUUUAUCCAAGAAGGAACUUUACUUCCAUCUUUGUAACAACCCUAUCCUCGUCAACAAUGGUAUCAUGGUAAGGAUGAUUCUGCUUUAUCUGUGUUAUAGAACUGGUGUCGGAAUUUUGUGUGGGUCUGGUUAAAAAAAAAUUAUGAUAGCGUCCCUGCAAUUAUUUGAGGGAUAAAUGUUAUUUUACAAGGGAAAAAAAGAAUAUAUAAAGAUUACAAGAAAUUAAAUCAAGAUUAAAAUUCAUUACAUUAGUGAGAUCUCUCUCAUCAAGAUUCAUCAUGGUAAUCGCAAAACACAGUAGCCUCAAAAUUACUCCGAUCAACCUCGUUGUAUGCAUCAAAAGACACCAACAAUCGAAGAGAGAGGGAAAAAAAAGCUCAAAAAUAAACUCAAAUUCUACGAUGCCAGCAGAGUCAACUUAAGAUGAAUAGAGAUCUUGAACUAAAUUAUAAAUGAAAUAUUUAAAAAUAUUUUUUUAUCUAUAUCUGACAAGUGAAUCCUUGAGUAAUCAUCAUUUUGUAUUUGAAGUCUUUUAUUAAGUAAGGGCAAUCUUUAUUUUAUAAUAAUUAAUAAAUAUAUCUUAUUUAUUCUUAAAAAAAUUUAUCAAGUAAAGAUCUUAAAUUAUUGUCCAAAUUGAUCGUUUGCCCUAACCGGCUCCGGAUGAAAGAACCUAAAGAUCUAGAAAUAAGAAAAACUAGUGAAAAAAGCAAUGGAAGGAACACAAAAGAGCUGGUCAUUUUGUUGUGUUGAACAACCCCCAUCCAAUCCUUAUUUAUACAAGAGUAUUGGGAUUAAAAUUGAUGCAUGAAUUAGUUUUGUUAAUUAACCCAAUCAAUUCAUGUCUCUUCAUUUACCGUCAUUAUUCCAAAAUAUUUUUUCAGUUUUAGUUCAUGUAAUCAUAAAAAAUAAUUUUUUGGACUAAAAAAUCAUUUUAUAGCUAGCCCAGUUCCAAAUUGGUGGGCACAUGCGAUUUACAGUCUACGUAGUGUAGAGCCUUUAUCCUCUGCAAUUGAACUUUUUAAAUUGAAUUAAUUUUUCAUUAAUCUAUAAUUGAUUUUAGACAUGUUAAACUUCUAUAUUAAGGUAUUUAUGUUGAAGAAAGUUUUUCAACAAAAUCUCAAUCCCAAAUGUGAAUAAACCUGCAUUUAAUUUGACCUUCAACCAUGUUUUAAACCAAUUUUCAAGAUAGAAAAUACAUCCUAAAAAGUUUUUUCUUGAUGUUUAGCAUAUCUUUGAAAGUAUAAUUUUUAUUUGUGUUUGUGGUAUUGCAAAUGAGUUCCCCCACCCAAGAAAAACAUGAUGAUCAUAGGAGGUUUAGCUAGUCAUGUAUCAGUGGAGUAUUGGUUUUUUCUUUUGCUCCUGUUCUACUAUGAUGAUCUUAGACGUUCCUUUGUUUUUUUAAAAAAACUUAAAACAGAGCUUUGCACUAGAGAAGCAUGGUGGGAAAAAAUGCUACAUGAUUGGAGCAAGAGGACUUUCAAUUACCUGGGGAGAUACACCUGACUAUUGGACAUGGAAACCCUUACCAGAUCAGUCUAGGUUUGUUCUCUCUCUCUCUCUCUCUCUCUCAUUUUACUGAUGUAUUUACCAGAUGAUGUUUUGCACAUAGCUAGUCAAGAACUAAAUGAGGUUCUUAGAUAUAUAGACAGACCUGUGAAGUUUAUGAUGGGGAAAGAUUUUCUUCUUCAGUAGUAUGGUUGCUGUUGUUGAACAUGAUGGAGGAUCAAUGCCUUCACCUUUAUAACCAAAAACAAAUACGAGUGAUGCUGACUUCUUAUAAAAAAAUGUAGAUUGCAAGCUAUGUAUAGAUCAUUCUAGAAGGAUGAUCUAUAUGUUUUCCGAAGCAGUGCAGGCCAUUCUAGAAGGAUGCAAGCGCUGGGUGCUCUUUACUAGCCACCGCCAUUAUUGUCACUGUCCUUGAUCUGCUUUUCUUGAUCCCUAACCCCUACGCUUAUUUGCCAACUUUAUUGUGUAUUUGUGUCCCAGUCGUUACAAAAGGUUAUAAUUGCCUAAUGCCUACUAGAUUAACCAAACUUCAGCCUGAGCUCCUUGUUUUCUCCCCGAACUUCAUAUAUAGGAAAUUUCCUCCAAUGAAAUUGCUGGGCUAUUAUGUUGGCCGACUCCUGUAGUCGGUACAUGUGAUUAUGUUGACCAAAUAACUUUUUUGGCAGAGAAGGAAAGCAUUUUUCUUCUCUUUCAGAACUUAAAAAGUUCAUGAAUGAUAACAAAGAAAAGUAAUCAAAUGUUGCUGAUAGUUUUCUGCGUUAAUUAAUGUGCGC